RNAcentral lists this ribosomal RNA (984 nucleotides) under Triticum aestivum (bread wheat). RNAcentral's name for it is "partial small subunit ribosomal RNA". Lineage: Eukaryota; Viridiplantae; Streptophyta; Magnoliopsida; Poales; Poaceae. The record is from RNAcentral.
AUGCUGACAUUUGAGGUAAACAGAGCAGAAGCUAGACAGUAUUGUUGGCCGCAGCGGGAACCUAUAGAUUAUUCUCUUCUCGGCCUCUACUGUGAUACUGCACUCGAGCUUACAAAAAUGGAGAUGGCUGAAGAUAGCUGGCAGAUUCUUCAUGACAUCUUGGACAACUGCAAGUCAAAUGAAUUCUGCAUGAAGAUCUUUGUUCAUGCUUUGUAUGCCAACCCCAAGAGGAGCAGUGAAGAACUAUGCAAGUUGUGCAAAGCCCUGCAGCAGGUUUCAGAUAACUCAAUGAACAACAUUGCUAAGAAGAUGUUAAAGUUCACUUAUAGUGAUUUGCCUAAGGAUUACAAGUUGUGCUUGAUGUACCUAGCAAUUUUCCCUCGACGACAACCCAUCAGGCGGUCUACCUUGAUAGGACGAUGGGUCGUUGAAGGGCUAGUAACCAAGGAAGACUGGGAAAGUACUGUGCGUCAUGCCAAUCAAUGUUUUGACGUGCUUGUCACCCGUUGGCUUGUUUAUCCUGCUGAUACUAGUUCUACGGGACAGGUAAAGAGUUGUGUGAUAGGUGAUCAAGUCCAUGGAUUCAUUACUAAGAUCGCCAGAAAACAUGGCAUUUUAGGAAAACGCCUGUCACAUCACUUGGCUCGCUACUUCUCCAUUUUCAACCAUCUCCGCCUCCAUAGCUCUGAUAGGAUUGACAAAUUCUUCUCAAAGCUCUUUGAAGAAUCAUCGCGAGUAUCCCUGAUCAAAGUGUUAGAUCUAGAAGGUUGUCAAUUCUUUGGUGGGAAGAACCAACACUACCUCAAGGACAUCUGCAGCAAGAUGUUACUGCUGAAGUAUCUAAGCCUAAGGGGGACAAAUCUUACCAAGCUGCCAAGUGAAAUCAACAACCUCCGUGAGUUGGAAAUAUUGGAUAUCCGACAGACCAAUGUGCCUGCACCUGCAACAGUACAUGUCAUACUCUUGAAGUCGAAGCGUUUCUAG